GUGCCAGCAGCCGCGGUAAUACGGAGGGUGCGAGCGUUGUCCGGAAUCAUUGGGCGUAAAGGGCGCGUAGGUGGCUCCGCAAGCGUGCGGUGAAAGUCGGGGGCUCAACCCCUGAUCGGCCGUGCGAACUGGGGGGCUGGAGCACUGUAGAGGCAGGCGGAAUUCCGGGUGUAGCGGUGGAAUGCGUAGAGAUCCGGAAGAACACCGGUGGCGAAGGCGGCCUGCUGGGCAGUAGCCGAAAGGCUUUCAAGCUGACACUGAGGCGCGACAGCGUGGGGAGCAAACAGGAUUAGAUACCCUGGUAGUCC
RNAcentral lists this ribosomal RNA (308 nucleotides) under uncultured bacterium. Its description in RNAcentral is "bacterial SSU rRNA". It matches the Rfam family "Bacterial small subunit ribosomal RNA", at positions 505 to 796 of the family's 1533-position model. The record is from RNAcentral.